Molecule: long non-coding RNA, 524 nt
Organism: Lemur catta (Ring-tailed lemur)
Lineage: Eukaryota; Metazoa; Chordata; Mammalia; Primates; Lemuridae
Exons: 4
Source: RefSeq, a predicted model, not a curated record
GGAGCCUGGAGACAACGUGGACCUCUGUGAUGAGACACUAAGACCAAUAAAUCAGCUGCCAGGGGAGGAGGCAGAUGCUGCAGGGCAUGUGAACCCCCCGGGAGCAGAUGAGGGUGCUCCAGCUCCCUCCCUUCUUCUAACUUUCCACAUGGGGAGGUAUUCACUGACUGGAAACUGCAAGCUCCUGGUGACCUAGCCACCUCCCCUCAGCUGGAAGUUCUAUGUCCAGGAAAAAGACCAGUGAAAUCAAGAGUUUUUAGGAGGAAUUGUCACAAACUCUAGGAAUAUAUGUUCAAGUGCAUUUUCUCUGGGAGGAGGAGGGAGAACAGACAUUCUCAAAGCAUCAGUGAUUCAAAUCCGGCUCUACUUUAGCAGAAGAAGCUGCAGAGAGAGAAGAAAACACCACCAGGCCUGCCUGAGCCACCCUCCUCUAGGCACAGAAGGGCAGAUGUUCUCUUUCAGAUUCACUUUUCUAAUUGUGUAAGUCUCCACGGAGGACCCAGGGAGGAAUGGCUGGCUGGUGG